RNAcentral lists this ribosomal RNA (497 nucleotides) under uncultured bacterium. RNAcentral describes it as "partial 16S ribosomal RNA". It matches the Rfam family "Bacterial small subunit ribosomal RNA", at positions 899 to 1397 of the family's 1533-position model. The record is from RNAcentral.
ACUCAAAGGAAUAGACGGGGGCCCGCACAAGCAGCGGAGCAUGUGGUUUAAUUCGACGCAACGCGAAGAACCUUACCUGGGCUUGACAUGUCAGUGACCGCCGUGGAAACACGGUUUUCCUUCGGGACACUGUCACAGGUGGUGCAUGGCUGUCGUCAGCUCGUGUCGUGAGAUGUUGGGUUAAGUCCCGCAACGAGCGCAACCCCCGUCCUAUGUUGCCAUCAUUAAGUUGGGGACUCAUAGGAGACUGCCGGUGACAAACCGGAGGAAGGUGGGGAUGACGUCAAGUCAUCAUGCCACUUAUGUCCAGGGCUACACACGUGCUACAUUGGCGCAUACAAAGGGCAGCAAUACCGCGAGGUGGAGCAAAUCCCAGAAAGUGCGUCUCGGUUCGGAUUGGAGGCUGAAACUCGCCUCCAUGAAGGUGGAGUUGCUAGUAAUCGCAGAUCAGCAAUGCUGCGGUGAAUACGUUCCCGGGCCUUGCACACACCGCCCGU